GGGCCCGUAGUCGAUCGGUUAAGACGCCUGUCUCACACACAGGAGAUGCGGAGUUCGAUUCUCCGCGGGCCCA
Molecule: transfer RNA, 73 nt
Filed under: Candidatus Micrarchaeota archaeon CG1_02_51_15
Lineage: Archaea; Nanobdellati; Microcaldota
Also listed under: 1 other name
Description: tRNA-Val
Rfam family: tRNA
About the family: Transfer RNA (tRNA) molecules are approximately 80 nucleotides in length.
Source: RNAcentral